UGCCUGGUGGCUCAGACUGUGAAGCAUCUACCUACAAUGCAGGAGACCUGGGUUCAAUCCCUGGUUUGGCAA
Molecule: transfer RNA, 72 nt
Filed under: Ovis aries (sheep)
Lineage: Eukaryota; Metazoa; Chordata; Mammalia; Artiodactyla; Bovidae
Rfam family: tRNA
About the family: Transfer RNA (tRNA) molecules are approximately 80 nucleotides in length.
Source: Rfam by way of RNAcentral